Molecule: ribosomal RNA, 164 nt
Filed under: uncultured bacterium
Lineage: Bacteria
Description: partial 16S ribosomal RNA
Rfam family: Bacterial small subunit ribosomal RNA
Source: RNAcentral
UAGGGAAUCUUCCACAAUGGGCGCAAGCCUGAUGGAGCAACACCGCGUGAGUGAAGAAGGGUUUCGGCUCGUAAAACUCUGUUGUUAGAGAAGAACAAGGGUGAGAGUAACUGUUCACCCCUUGACGGUAUCUAACCAGAAAGCCACGGCUAACUACGUGCCAG